ACGGGGCGCAGCAGGCGCGAAACCUCCUCAAUGCACUAACGUGCGAAGGGGUUACCUCGAGUGCCACCUGAAGAAGGUGGCUUUUCCUUGGUCUAAAAAGCCUCGGGAAUAAGAGGGGGGCAAGACUGGUGUCAGCCGCCGCGGUAACACCAGCCCCUCGAGUGGUGGGGAUGAUUAUUUGGCCUAAAGCGUCCGUAGCCGGCCGUAUAAGUUUCCCGUUAAAUCCAACGUCUCAAGCGUUGGACUGCGGGAAAUACUGUACGGCUAGAGAGUGGGAGAGGUCAGCGGUAUUCUGGGGGUAGGGGCGAAAUCCUUUGAUCCCCGGAGGACCACCAGUGGCGAAGGCUGCUGACUAAAACACGUCUGACGGUCAGGGACGAAAGCUGGGGUAGCGAACCGGAUUAGAUACCCGGGUAGUCCCAGCCGUAAACGAUGCAUGCUAGGUGUUGGGUUGGCCACGAGCCACCCCAGUGCCGCAGGGAAGCCGUUAAGCAUGCCGCCUGGGAAGUACGAUCGCAAGAUUGAAAUUUAAAGGAAUUGGCGGGGGAGCAC
This 552-nucleotide ribosomal RNA is filed under the name uncultured archaeon. RNAcentral describes it as "bacterial SSU rRNA". It matches the Rfam family "Archaeal small subunit ribosomal RNA", at positions 325 to 879 of the family's 1478-position model. The record is from RNAcentral.